GCGCCCGAUUUCGUCUGAUCUCGGAAGCUAA
Ribosomal RNA from Ochotona princeps (American pika), 31 nucleotides. The record is from Ensembl. Lineage: Eukaryota; Metazoa; Chordata; Mammalia; Lagomorpha; Ochotonidae.